Molecule: long non-coding RNA, 518 nt
Organism: Cyprinus carpio carpio
Lineage: Eukaryota; Metazoa; Chordata; Actinopteri; Cypriniformes; Cyprinidae
Source: Ensembl
GAGAGCUAUAUAGCAGCGGCAGCGCUCUGGCGUCGCUCAUACUGCCGGAGAGAACGAAACAAACAGAAGUAGAAGUUGCAGUUUGUAACGUGAAGCAAUUCUACGCUUGUAUGAAGUCAUAUCAGUUGGAAAUCACACAUUACGGUCUCCCUGCCAGAGAGAAUUAGCCAGAGUGGGGGUUGAAUGGAGGGGUGGAGGCUGCUCUAUCCAUGCAGCAGGUCAGAUGCCGGGGGACAAGAUUGAGUCUUGCCUCUUCCUCUUUGGCCAGAGAGCUCUACCGAGGGACAAAGGAUGCUGGAAAGAAGAAGCAGGUGACAUCAUGCGAAUCUGCCUCUGCUUGGAUAGUCAUGGCAACUGAUCUGUUUGCAUAAACACAUGGGGCUUACUCUCCUCCCCUGCGGUCCCUCGUGUCACUGGGAUUCUCACAGAUCCUAGCAGCUACAGGGUUGUAGCAUUACUGCACCCUGCUGCUUCACACACUCACAAGGGAGAGCCUGGCGCCACUCCUGUCUGUUCAG